Molecule: long non-coding RNA, 142 nt
Organism: Thalassophryne amazonica
Lineage: Eukaryota; Metazoa; Chordata; Actinopteri; Batrachoidiformes; Batrachoididae
Exons: 3
Source: RefSeq, a predicted model, not a curated record
GUAGCAGAGGUGUUGUGGUGAGCUGUACUCUCAGGACAUUUAACCAAAUGAAGGUCUCCUCCACAGCUUUGACCUCUUGAUGGAGUCUUUGGAGACACUUUCCUUACAUUUUGAAUAGCAGAGAUGUUCUCUUCUUCCUUCU